UACGGGGAAAAGAAACCAACUGGGAUUACCUUAGUAACGGCGAGUGAAGCGGUAAAAGCUCAAAUUUGAAAUCUGGUACUUUCAGUGCCCGAGUUGUAAUUUGUAGAAUUUGUCUUUGAUUAGGUCCUUGUCUAUGUUCCUUGGAACAGGACGUCAUAGAGGGUGAGAAUCCCGUUUGGCGAGGAUACCUUUUCUCUGUAAGACUUUUUCGAAGAGUCGAGUUGUUUGGGAAUGCAGCUCAAAGUGGGUGGUAAAUUCCAUCUAAAGCUAAAUAUUGGCGAGAGACCGAUAGCGAACAAGUACAGUGAUGGAAAGAUGAAAAGAACUUUGAAAAGAGAGUGAAAAAGUACGUGAAAUUGUUGAAAGGGAAGGGCAUUUGAUCAGACAUGGUGUUUUUUGCAUGCACUCGCCUCUCGUGGGCUUGGGCCUCUCAAAAAUUUCACUGGGCCAACAUCAAUUCUGGCAGUAGGAUAAAUCAUUAAGAAUGUAGCUACCUCGGUAGUGUUAUAGCUUAUUGGAAUACUGCUAGCUGGGAUUGAGGACUGCGCUUCGGCAAGGAUGUUGGCAUAAUGGUUAAAUGCCGCCCGCUA
This 590-nucleotide ribosomal RNA is filed under the name Hanseniaspora opuntiae. RNAcentral's name for it is "partial large subunit ribosomal RNA". It matches the Rfam family "Eukaryotic large subunit ribosomal RNA", at positions 49 to 654 of the family's 3401-position model. The record is from RNAcentral. Lineage: Eukaryota; Fungi; Ascomycota; Saccharomycetes; Saccharomycodales; Saccharomycodaceae.